This 253-nucleotide ribosomal RNA is filed under the name uncultured bacterium. RNAcentral describes it as "partial 16S ribosomal RNA". It matches the Rfam family "Bacterial small subunit ribosomal RNA", at positions 524 to 776 of the family's 1533-position model. The record is from RNAcentral.
UACGUAGGGUGCGAGCGUUGUCCGGAAUUAUUGGGCGUAAAGGGCUCGUAGGCGGUCUGUUGCGUCAGGAGUGAAAACUCGGGGCUUAACCCCGAGCCUGCUUCUGAUACGGGCAGACUAGAGGUAUGCAGGGGAGAACGGAAUUCCUGGUGUAGCGGUGAAAUGCGCAGAUAUCAGGAGGAACACCGAUGGCGAAGGCAGGUCUCUGGGCCGAUACUGACGCUGAGGAGCGAAAGCGUGGGGAGCGAACAGG